GGCCGCAUAGUUCAAGGGAUAGAACGGAAGUUUCCUAAACUUUAAAUACAGGUUCGAGUCCUGUUGUGGCUA
Molecule: transfer RNA, 72 nt
Filed under: Rikenella sp.
Lineage: Bacteria; Pseudomonadati; Bacteroidota; Bacteroidia; Bacteroidales; Rikenellaceae
Also listed under: 2 other names
Description: tRNA-Arg
Rfam family: tRNA
About the family: Transfer RNA (tRNA) molecules are approximately 80 nucleotides in length. Their secondary structure includes four short double-helical elements and three loops (D, anti-codon, and T loops).
Source: RNAcentral